UGCGAAGGGGGCUAGCGUUGCUCGGAAUUACUGGGCGUAAAGGGCGCGUAGGCGGCGCUGCAAGUCAGGCGUGAAAUUCCUGGGCUUAACCUGGGGACUGCGCUUGAGACUGUGGAGCUAGAGGUCAGAAGAGGGUCGUGGAAUUCCCAGUGUAGAGGUGAAAUUCGUAGAUAUUCGCAAGAACACCAGUGGCGAAGGCGGCUUACUGGUCCGGUUCUGACGCUGAGGCGCGAAAGCGUGGGGAGCAAACAGG
Molecule: ribosomal RNA, 253 nt
Filed under: uncultured bacterium
Lineage: Bacteria
Description: partial 16S ribosomal RNA
Rfam family: Bacterial small subunit ribosomal RNA
Source: RNAcentral